UACGAAGGGGGCUAGCGUUGCUCGGAAUGACUGGGCGUAAAGGGCGCGUAGGCGGCUUGCACAGUCAGGCGUGAAAUUCCUGGGCUCAACCUGGGGACUGCGCUUGAGACGUGUGGGCUUGAGUGGGGAAGAGGGUCGUGGAAUUCCCAGUGUAGAGGUGAAAUUCGUAGAUAUUCGCAAGAACACCAGUGGCGAAGGCGGCUCACUGGCCCGGUACUGACGCUGAGGUGCGAAAGCGUGGGGAGCAAACAGG
RNAcentral lists this ribosomal RNA (253 nucleotides) under uncultured bacterium. RNAcentral's name for it is "partial 16S ribosomal RNA". It matches the Rfam family "Bacterial small subunit ribosomal RNA", at positions 524 to 776 of the family's 1533-position model. The record is from RNAcentral.